Molecule: long non-coding RNA, 206 nt
Filed under: Capsicum annuum
Lineage: Eukaryota; Viridiplantae; Streptophyta; Magnoliopsida; Solanales; Solanaceae
Description: long non-coding RNA (CANN_LNC017922)
Source: RNAcentral
UUGGUUAUAUCUUAAGUGUGUACAAUAUUGGCAUAUUGACAUGAUUUCUUAUGCUAACCCUAACCCUCAUGCCAUGAGGAACUUGUGUUUAUUUGUCCUUUCUUUGAUUUUUCAAGGUUUGGAUUCGAGUUCAAAUCCUUUUCCAUACGGGGAAGAUGAUACAAGUCAAAUGGGCAUCAAUGCUUUUGACCACAAAACUCGAGGCC